UAGGUCUUCAAAAAAUUGACCGAGAAAACUAUUUGAGAGAACCAAACCUUCGAAGUCUAUCGGACCCAAAGUGUAGUAGUCUAACCAAACUUCAGACCUUGUGGGAUCUUUUCUCUGUUUUCCUUUUUUUUUUUAAAGCAAUAUCUGUGGUUAAAAGAGAUUGGUACGUUUAACAUGCAAGGCAACUACGGAGCCUGGCGUAACCGCGUCAAUAUUAUGUUGCUGACUUUUCUUUGCUGUAGGUACUUAGUGGGAAACUUGUUUAAGCGGAAAGAACGGAGUUUGUUCCAGUGGCUAUCUACACAAACAACGUGUGCUACGCGGAAUGUGAGUAUUAUGUUACCCUGGAUUGUCUUGAAAAUAUUUCUCUCGCUUUUACUUUGUUUAAGAAACAUUUGUAGUUGUACAAAAUUAACGUUUAGAACAUGCGAGACGGUUAAAAAGCUACAGAUAACAGGGUAUGCUCAUUUUGCCAGCCUUUCCUUGGUGCAGCAAAUUGGAGCGAGGGUGAAGCCUUCCUAAGUGUAGAGCUACAGAUUGAAGGUUUUUGGACCCUACUUUAUUUAAUUUAAUAGUGGAACUUAUCCUUCUUGGAAAAUAGUAAAAGAGGCAAUCGGACCUGCUUUGUUGUUGUUUACUAGAGACGUGUUACUGAAAGGAACAAAUGAGGUUUCUUCCCAUUGCUGGUUGUGCAGGUGACGAGUGCGGCUGCGUGGCUUCUGAGUGUGAUUUUACUCCGUGUACAUUAUCAGGGAAUGGAGUUUUUACUCUUACCGAGUUUUAUUUUAUAGGGUUGUCGUCCCCGUAUUUGUAUCUGCAAUUUGUGUAGUGUUGGAACGGAAGUUUAUGGCUUGAACUUCCAUUUUGGUGGAUAUUCAACUUGGGAAAUAAGUCAUUUAGCGUGGUCCAGUUCCAGUGGAGUUCAUAGCAACCAUGUUGGCUCUUAACAAGCGGACUGAUCCGUUGAAUUACUUGCAAAUUUUGUGCUUGACUAGGGAUCUUUUGUUGAUAAAUAGAUCUUCCUAAGUGUUGGUUUGUAGUUAAUUUGAUUUUUUACCCACAAGUAGUCUUGUUCUUUUUAUCUUCGGUAUUAAACCCCUUGUUUCCUUGGAGAAGCAGCUGUUUUUGUUUCUAUUCGUGUCGUUUUGUUUACUUAGGCUCCUGUACAGUUUGCAAUUUUUUUUUGGGGCUUCAAAUGAUGAUCCAAUGUAGUGGUAAUUCGUACUGUUUCUGUUGCAAAAUGAGGAGUCAGUAUUCUGCAUAUUAGCAAAUGAUUAUUUAUACUUUGUGAUGCUCUUGGAAGUCCUUUAACCAUGGCUUGAUCCUUGUUCGUGUCUCUCUGAUUUGUGGGCGCGGCUAAAUGAUAUCCUUGGUGCAGGUGAAGUUUGUGAUUGUUAUUUGAAGAGGUACCCAAUAUCUGGCCAUUCUUCGCUGUUGUUUUCUUUCUUGCUACAUGUCAUUUUCACAGGUGCAGCUAUUUUUAUUCCAUAUUCGUCUUAUUGUUGGGCAGUGAUGCGGAGAUUGUGGCGGGGGAAGUGAUGCGGAGGGUAAAGAGAAGGAAGCUGAGAAGGUUGGUGUGGAAUAUCAUCAUCAGCCAAAACCAGGUGAUUUUGUGGUUUCUGGCAACGAAAAUAAGCUCGGUGUGAAUAUUGGAUCAGAAUUGUUGGGCACCAGGUUGACAAAGGGGGUUCUGCCCCAGGGAGAUGUGAUUUGAAAAAUGAUGCAGAGGAGGAGUUCGUGGUUUGUGGGAAGAUGAGAAUUGUCAAGGACUGGGAAGGCCAGUUGUGGAGACUGGGAACUGUCCUUUUUGCUGAGGUUCUUGGCAGAACCCUAACCGGUGAAGCUGUACAGGUGCUUGGUGGAGCAGACAACUCGCCACGCACCCGUCUGUGUGGAUUUGUCAGAGAAGGAAUAGAAAUUGAAAGGAAAAUUUGUAAGUAUUAUUUACGAGGAUUAAGAGAAUAAAUAAUUUAAAAUUAGAUAACAGUUUAAAAAAUUUUAAUAGAAUAUAUUUGUAGAUAUAAAUUUUUUUUAAUAAUACGCGUAUUAUUUAAUAAAUUUUUUAGAAAAAAGAAUUAUUAAAAAUUGUAUUGUAAUUAAGAGUGUUUAUUUUAUUGUGGUUUUUUAUUAUAAUAUUUGUAUUUAGAAAAAAUAUUUUUGUCGUUGGGUGAGUAAAAUAUAAAAUGUUUUUGAUAAUAGUUAAAUUGAAAAUUUAUUUUUUUAUAAAUUUAAAAUAAAAAAUUACAAAAGUAACAUGAAUUUUUAUUAAAAAUAAAUGUUAUUAUUAUUGUAUAAAUAAUAACAUAUUUUCACAAUUAUUUAUAAAAAUAUUUUUAAUGGAAAACUCAGUAAGGCAAUAAAAAAAAUAUUAUCUUUUUAAUUUUCUCUCUCUGCCGCUCUUCAUCUUCGGUCUCUGGUUUUCCUUUUUUCUACCCGAGGUUCCGCGUGUUUAUAAAGCACGUAGGUUGCGUCGCGGAGACGCAGCUCAGCUCCUCUAUAAAAGUGCUGAGACUUUCUUUCCUCCUUCCGCCUCUGCUGUCUCCUGAUCCGGUAAGGUUUUCUUCUGAUUGCCCAUUAGAUCUGGUCCCGCUCCGAUCUUCUAGAGAUUGGAGGCGGUCUUCAUUCUCUCUGAACGGAAGAGUGCAGAAAAUAGGGCUCUUCUGCUUCCGAGUCUUCUCUCUUGUGGCGAUUUAGAGGUUGCGUCACGGAGACGCAGCUCAGCUCCUCUAUAAAAGCGCUGAGACUCUCUUUCCUCCUUCCGCCUCUGCCGUCUCCUGAUCCGGUAAGGUUUUCUUUUUGAUUGCCCAUUAGAUCUGGUCCCGCUCCGAUCUUCUAGAGAUUGGAGGCGGUCUUCAUUCUCUCUGAACAGAAGAGUGCAGAAAAUAGGGCUCUUCUACUUCGGAGUCUUCUCUUUUGCGGCGAUUUAGAGGUUGCGUCGCGGAGAGGCAGCUCAGCUCCUCUAUAAAAGCGCUGAGACUCUCUUUCCCCCUUCCGCCUCUUCUGUCUCCUGAUCCGGUAAGGUUUUCUUUCGAUUGCCCAUUAGAUCUGGUCCCGCUCCGAUCUUCUAGAGAUUGGAGGCGGUCUUCAUUUUUUCUGAACGGAAGAGUGCAGAAAUUGGGGCUCUUCUACUUCCGAGUCUUCUCUCUUGCGGCGAUUUAGAGGUUGCGUCACGGAGACGCAGCUCAGCUCCUCUAUAAAAGCGCUGAGACUCUCUUUCCUCCUUCCGCCUCUGCCGUCUCCUGAUCCGCUAAGGUUUUCUUUUUGAUUGCCCAUUAGAUCUGGUCCCGCUCCGAUCUUCUAGAGAUUGGAGGCGGUCUUCAUUCUCUCUGAACGGAAGAGUGCAGAAAAUAGGGCUCUUCUACUUCCGAGUCUUCUCUCUUGCGGCGAUUUAGAGGUUGCGUCACGGAGACGCAGCUCAGCUCCUCUAUAAAAGCGCUGAGACUCUCUUUCCUCCUUCCGCCUCUGCCGUCUCCUGAUCCGCUAAGGUUUUCUUUUUGAUUGCCCAUUAGAUCUGGUCCCGCUCCGAUCUUCUAGAGAUUGGAGGCGGUCUUCAUUCUCUCUGAACGGAAGAGUGCAGAAAAUGGGGCUCUUCUACUCCUGAGUCUUCUCUCUUGUGGCGAUUUAGGGUUUUCCUCAGCUUCUUCUAGGUUCUAAUCGGUGAAGAGAGACGGAAGAACAGAGUUGAAGAGGGUAGGUGAAAGGAAGAGACAAUAAUUUGUAAGAGGUAUGUAUGUGUUAAUUUCUCUUAUGGAUUUGUGAGGAAUGUAUGCCUAAACGAUAAAGAGUUCCACCCGGAAAGUUUUCUGUGUUGUUCACAGUUUUGUCACCGAAGCACUAAAAUAUUUUACAAAGAGGAAAAACUCUCUCAGUGUUACGUUUAUUACCCGUUAUUGUUGAUUUACUGUGCGAUGUUCGUGGGAGCUGUAUCGAUGUGUCUUGAUCCCUCUUGUUUUUCCCUGAUUUACAGGGACCACAGUCUGACAAUAUUGUAAUCCUCGUUGAGUAAGGGUAUGGAUUGCUGGUUCAAGAGGGUAUGCAAUAUCUGUUUACACUCACACCUCUUGGUGCGGGUUCAAGAGGUAUGCUUGCCUCGAACAUGUGGUUGAACGGUAUCUUGGCCCAUUUUGAUGCUUUGAAAUGUUUAAUUUAAAUUUUACUACAUCCCUUCAGGGGUCAUAAAAUGAAGGGUAAAUGCAAAAAUAAAACCAAAUAUAAGGUGGAGGUUUUUAGAUUUUCGACUGAAUCACAAUUGAGUUGUUGGGUUUAACAAAAUUAUAAUUCAAUUUAGCCAAGUGUGAUCGGCUGAAAAUGCUAAAUUACCCUCAGCCUGCUGUGUAAUUGUUUCAGUAUUACUCUGUUGGGCUCUUAUAAAGCAAUGGAUCCAAAUGUUGCACGAGCUGUUGAGUAAUUUCCAACUGGUUUUGGUGAUUCGCUUUUAUUAGUUGAGAUAAAAAAAUAAAACGAAUUAUUAAUUAUUAAUUUGGUUUCGGCAUUAUAAAAAAAAAUUGUAUUUGAAAAAUAUUUUUGUAGUUAGAUGAGCAAAAAAGAAAAAUGUUUUUGAUAAUAGUUAAAUUCAAAAUUUAAAAUAAAAAAUUACACUCAAUACAUUUUUACGGGUCUGCUAGAUUCAAAUAAUGUAUCGUUCUUAUUUCUCUCACGCUUUUUGGUUGUAUUUGAGCAAUAAUUUGUCAGAGGCAGCAAGCCAGAUCUGGAAAUAUGGCAAGUUUUUAGAAAUUGGUGCUGCGCGUUUAGUCAUCUUUAACCAACAAGUUCUUAUGCUGGUUUUCAGGUAAUUCUCUUUUGUUUCGCUCCCUUUCAAUCUUCUUUAAGAUCUCAGAAUGGAAGUCCCCAGCUUCCUAUCUCUUAGUCUCCUCUUAAACCUGAAGGUCAUUAUUUUUGGCCCGUCCAACAGUUCUGUUGCAGUCAAGAGAAAGGUUUCCAGGAUGCUUGAGAUGCUUGCCUCGUACAAGGGGGGGUGUACCAUGUGGGAACCGUGUUCCCAUAAUCUUGAUUCUGUCCGGUUCCAUCCAAAGUGCAUAAAGAAACCUAGUUCCCUCGCUGGAAACUGAUAAUAGUGCUCGGUAUUUUAUGUUUAUUACCAGUUAUUGUUAAUUUAUUGCGUGACUUUCAUGGGAGUUGUAUCAAUAUGUCUUGAUCCCUUUUCUUGUUCUUUGAUUUACCGGGACCAUAUUCUGAAAAUAUUGUAAUCGUCGCUCGGUAAGGGUAUGGAUUGCUGGUUCAAGAGGUUUGCAAUAUCUAUUUUCACUCGUAUCACUUGGUGCUGGAUUCAUAUGUUUUUCUUCUGUAUUAAAAAGUUACGUAUGUGUAUUAAUAUUGGUACCGAGGGGGCACUGCGCACUUACAAAAUUUUUACAAGUCGGCUGGAUUAAAAUAAUGUGACGUGCUUUGUUCGUCUCGGCGCUUUUUGCUUGUAUUUGAGCAAUCAUUUGUUAGAAGCAGCAGGCCAGAUCUGAAAAUAUGGCAAGUUUUUAGAAAUUGAUGCUGCGCCUUUUAGUUGCCAACACGUUCUUAUGUUGGUUUUCAGGUAAUUCUCUUUUGUUUCACUCCCUUUUAUUCGUCUUUAAGAUCUCGGAAUGGAAGUCCUCAGCUUCCUUGUCCCCCGCAUCUUUGAGUCUCAUCUUAAAGCUGAAGGUCAUUAUUUUUGGCCUGUCCAGCAGUUUUGUUGUGGUUGAGAGAAAGGUUUAAAGGAUGCAUGAGAUGCUUGCCUCGUACAAGGGUGUCUAUUAUGUGGGAACCGUGUUCCCAAAAUCUUGAUUCCGUCUGGUCCAUAGUCCCUGCAAAGUCAUUCCAUCCAAAGUGCAUAAAGAAACAUAGUUCCCACGUUGGAAACUAAUAGUGUUGUUCCGUACGACGUUUGUUACCAGUUUAUUUUUUGUUUGAUGUUCGCGGGAGUUGUAUCAGUAUGUCUUGAUCCCUUCUCUUGUUUUUUGAUUUACAGGGACCAUAUUCUGACAAUAUUAUAACGCUCGCUCGGUAAGGGUGUGGAUUGCUGGUUCGAGAGGUACGCGACAUCUCUAUUUACACUCGUAUCACUUGGUGCUGGAUUCAAAUAUUUCUCUUUGGAAGUAAAAGUUACGUAUUUGUUUAAUGUUGGUACCAAAGGGGUACUGCUGCGCAUUACAAAAAUUUCUACAAGUCUGCUAGAUUCAAAUAAUAUUUCUCUCACGCUUUUUGGUUGUAUUUGAGCAAUAAUUUGUCAGAGGCGGCAGGCCAGCCAGAUCGGGAAAUAUGGCAACUUUUUAGAAAUUGAUGCUGCGCGUUUACUUUACCAACAAGUUCUUAUGUUGGUUUUCAGGUAAUUCUCUUCCGCCCCGCUCCCUUUUAAUCAUCUUUAAUAUCUCAGCAUGGAAGUCCUCAGCUUCCUUGCCCCCCGGGCCCCACUUCUUUUAGUCUGCUCUUAAAGCUGGAGGUCAUUUUUUUUUGACGUUUGUUGUAGUCAAGAGAAAGGUUUCUAGGAUGCAUGAGAUGCUUGCCUCGUACUAGGGUGUCUUUUAUGUGGGAACCAUGUUCCCGUAAUCUUGGUUCUGUCUAUGGUUCGUAGUCCCAUAUGAACGAGGAUGCUGUGUUCUCGGGAUUUUUAUCUGAUGCGAGAAAGGUCGUCAUUCUUUAUUUCGAAGCCACAUUAGAUUGAUUUUGUGUCCCGGUAAAAGUGCCCUACUUUAUUUUAUUGAAAGUGAGAGUAAAUUGAUUUAUUGUUUCAAAAUAAAUUUGCGUCCGUGUUUAAUGGAAAAUUUUACGAUUUCUUCGGAGAAAGUAGAAUUCCCCAUGUCCUUCGGGUAGUUGGAACUUAAAAAGAAUGUGCUUGGAUCUUCUAACAGCAAGUAAAUAUUUUUGGGCAUUGUUUUAAGGUUCUUGCUUCCUUUGGUAGAAAAUAAUUUUUUAUGGUGUUCCGGUCCUGAAUUAUUGCUCAGAAACUGAAAGCAUGUUUUGUAAAUCUUUUAAAAAAUAAAUGCGCCUGAUGAACAAGAAAAUUUCCCAUUCUUGAGAAAACAAAAAAUGUUCCCUGUUCCCCCGGGUAGCACCAACUGUGAGAAAAUGUGUCUUGAGCAUUUUGAUUCCUAGUAAAUAUGUUUAUGUGUGUCGCUUCGGCAGUGAAAGCUAUCGUGAUGGGCACCCUAUCUCUCUUAGACGUUGCAAUUGGAUUUUCUAGUAUUUGAUAACCAUUUUACAAAAGAUAUGUAUGCUCGGUUUUGGGAACUUUCAGAUUUAGUUUAUUGGAGAAAUGUUGUUGGUAUGUGUUUUGAAGCUUCAUUCAUGAAAUAUAGUUGGUGAAGGAUCAUUGUGGGCCGGGUCUCUUGAGUAGAAAACAUUAUUUCUGCAGCCCUUGCAUGCACAAUGAAUGUUUUAUCUGAGAUUCUCGGUCCAAAAUGUAAGAGCUUCAAUUCCAUAUUAACUACAUUUCAGUCCCAAAAUACUAGGGAAGCCAAUAUUUCAUUUUGAAAGUUAAAGGGUGUUGAUAUGUGUUUUGAAGCUUCAUUCAUGAAAUAUAGCCGGUGAAGGAUCACUGUUGGCCGGGUCUCUUGAGUAGAAAACAGUAUUUGUGCAGCCCCUGCAUUCACAAUGAAUGUUUUAUUUGAGAUUCUCGGUCCAAAAUGUAAGAGCUUCAAUUCCAUAUUAACUACCUUUUCAGUCCCAAAAUACCAGGAAAGCCAAAAUUUCAUUUUGAAUGUUAAAGGUUGCUGAUAUGUGUUUUGAAGCUUCAUUUAUGAAAUAUAGUUGGUGAAGGAUCAUUAUUGGCCGGGUCUCUUGAGUAGAAAACAUUUUUUCUGCAGCCCGUGCAUUCGCAAUGAAUGCUCUAUUUGAGAUUCUCGGUCCAAAAUGUAAGAGCUUCAAUUCCAUAUUAACUUCCUUUCAGGCCACAAAAAUCUAGGACAGGCAAUAUUUCAUUUUGAACGUUAAAGGUUGUUGCUGUGUGUUUUGAAGCUUCAUUUAUGAAAUAUAGUUGGUGAAGGAUCAAAAUUGGCCGGGUCUCUUUGAGUAGAAAACAUUAUUUGUGCAGCCCUUGCAUUCACAAUGAAUGUUUUAUUUGAGAUUCUGGGUCCAAAAUGUAAGAGGUUCAAUUCCAUAUUAACUACCCUUUAGUCCUAGGAAAGGCAAUAUUUCAUUUUGAAAGUGGAAGUUUUUGUCGAUAUUUCAAAACAAACUUAUGUGCCUCGGUGCAUGAGAACGUGAAUCUUGAUUUUUUGUGGCAAAAUGAAACUGCUUGCAACCCUCAAGAUGUACAGCCUCAAAAAGAUGUGGCUUAAAAUCUCAAGCCAAAGUUUGGGUGCGUCGGUUUGAAAGUGAGAGUUUCUUUGAUCACGCACUUUCUUUUGGAGAGUUAGGCGACGUUUCACUUAGUGGUGGCAAUAUGCUCUCCCAAUCUAUUUUUAGCGCGGACAGAAAAAGUUUCGUGCUAGGUUAUGGGAAUCUUCAUUAUACGUGGAAGAGGUUGCCGUUCUUUAUUUUGAAGCCACAUCGAUAAUCUAGUUGCAGCGUUUUUCCUCUGUAGAGGUGCCCCGAUUCGAUAUUUUGAAACCGACACUGUAUUUACUGAUUCUUUUAAGAUAAGUGUGCCCCUCGGUAUUCAAGCAGAAGUUUCUCUGUUUUUUGGGGAAGAGUAAAAUUGCUCUGUUCUCUUGGUUGGUUGGAACAUAGAAAGCAAUAUGUUUGGAUCUUUUGAUUGCAAGUAAAUAUUUUUUCGGCACGUGGUUUUAAAGCUUUUUGGCUUUUGUUAAAGAAUAGUUUUUUUAAAAAAAUAUAUAUACAAAAGAAUAGUUUCCUGUUUUGGAAGUUUCCUGGUUUGGGAAGUAAAGGAGACUCAAUUUAUACUUUAAAACCUAAAAGCUGUUUUUAUGCAUUAUUUAUGGAUAAAUGUGUGACUUGAUGCACAAGAAAAUGAAUUUUGAUUUCUUGGGGCAAUGUAAAUCUGCUUGGGUCCCUCUCGCAGUUCCAAGUUUUAGAAAAACUUGCAUUGACAAAGAUUCGAGGAUAUUGUGACAGCACCACUUCUGACACGGUAACUUGCUUUCAAUAUUUAGUUUACGUAAGGCAUACGAGAUGUGUUUUGAAGGUUUUGAAACCCAUGGUCUGUUGCUGCGAAAAUAUAUCAUUCGGAGUCCCGUAUUCAGAAAGUAAAAGGCCUCGAUUAAUCUUUUCGAAAGCUAGCCUGUCCAUUUAUUUUUUGAAAACGAUUUUUUUUGUUGGUCCCCUGAGCAAAUGUUCCUCAAUUUUUUGGGGCAAUGUGAGAUUUUGCAAAAUGUCCCUUGGAUAAUUCUUUCUCUAGCAAAAUGUCCCUUGAUCUUUUAGUUGGAAGUAACUAUUCUUUGCUAUGUUGGUUUAAUUAAAGUUUCUCUUGAUCUUUUGCUUUCGAAAUAAAUCUGCAGGUGUCCCCACAGGGAAAUUGUAGCAGUUGGAAAAGUAAGUGGAGGUCAAGUAAUUUUUUUAGAAACUGAAGGCGUGUUCUAUCGAUUAUUUUGAAAGAUAAGUGUGCCUUGGUGCAAAAGAAAAUGACUUUGGAUUUGCUGCAGCAAAGCAAAACUUUUUUGAUGCCCUGGGUUUUCGGAACUCUAAAAGUUGUGGUUUGGACUCUUGAUUCAAAGUAAGUGUUUUUGAGAAUACGUUGGUUUAAAGGAAAAGUAACUCUGAUAACAAACACCCUUUCUCUUGGAGAGUUGGCAGCCUUUCUCUACGUAACUGGCAGUGUGCUUUCUCAAUCAUUUUAUUGCUACGGGCGUAAGACAUGAUUGCUCGGUUAAAGGAGAUAUUCAUUUUAUUUGAGAAAGGCCUUCGUUCUUGAUUUGGGAGCCAAUUUAAUGAACUUCAGUAAAAGUGGGCGAAUUCAUUGACUCGCAAAUGAGAGUGCUUUGGUUUAUUGUUUCAAAAUAAAUGUACUUUGACUCCUAGGCAACGGUUUUUUAAAUUUCUCGGGAAAAAGUAAAAUUCAUCCUCGCUCGGCCAGUUGGAGCUCAAAAAAAGCAUGCAUGUAUGCUGAAUUUGUCUUGGUUCUAAUCAUUGUUCUAAUGUAGGUCUUCAAAAAAUUGACCGAGAAAACUAUUUGAGAGAACCAAACCUUCGAAGUCUAUCGGACCCAAAGUGUAGUAGUCUAACCAAACUUCAGACCUUGUGGGAUCUUUUCUCUGUUUUCUUUUUUUUUUUUAAAGCAAUAUCUGUGGUUAAAAGAGAUUGGUACGUUUAACAUGCAAGGCAACUACGGAGCCUGGCGUAACCGCGUCAAUAUUAUGUUGCUGACUUUUCUUUGCUGUAGGUACUUAGUGGGAAACUUGCUUAAGCGGAAAGAACGGAGUUUGUUCCAGUGGCUAUCUACACGAACAACGUGUGCUACGCGGAAUGUGAGUAUUAUGUUACCCUGGAUUGUCUUGAAAAUAUUUCUCUCGAUUUUACUUUGUUUAAGAAACAUUUGUAGAUGUACAAAAUUAACGUUUAGAACAUGCGAGACGGUUAAAAAGCUACAGAUAACAGGGUAUGCUCAUUUUGCCAGCCUUUCCUUGGUGCAGCAAAUUGGAGCGAGGGUGAAGCCUUCCUAAGUGUAGAGCUACAGAUUGAAGGUUUUUGGACCCUACUUUAUUUAAUUUAAUAGUGGAACUUAUCCUUCUUGGAAAAUAGUAAAAGAGGCAAUCGGACCUGCUUUGUUGUUGUUUACUAGAGACGUGUUGCUGAAAGGAACAAAUGAGGUUUCUUCCCGUUGCUGGUUGUGCAGGUGACGAGUGCGGCUGCGUG
RNAcentral lists this long non-coding RNA (10740 nucleotides) under Carica papaya (papaya). Its description in RNAcentral is "long non-coding RNA (CPAP_LNC010554)". Lineage: Eukaryota; Viridiplantae; Streptophyta; Magnoliopsida; Brassicales; Caricaceae. The record is from RNAcentral.